Molecule: ribosomal RNA, 497 nt
Filed under: uncultured bacterium
Lineage: Bacteria
Description: partial 16S ribosomal RNA
Rfam family: Bacterial small subunit ribosomal RNA
Source: RNAcentral
GAUGAACGCUGGCGGCGUGCCUAAUACAUGCAAGUCGAGCGAACAGAUGAGGAGCUUGCUCCUCUGACGUUAGCGGCGGACGGGUGAGUAACACGUGGAUAACCUACCUAUAAGACUGGGAUAACUUCGGGAAACCGGAGCUAAUACCGGAUAAUAUAUUGAACCGCAUGGUUCAAUAGUGAAAGACGGUUUUGCUGUCACUUAUAGAUGGAUCCGCGCCGCAUUAGCUAGUUGGUAAGGUAACGGCUUACCAAGGCAACGAUGCGUAGCCGACCUGAGAGGGUGAUCGGCCACACUGGAACUGAGACACGGUCCAGACUCCUACGGGAGGCAGCAGUAGAGAAUCUUCCGCAAUGGGCGAAAGCUUGACGGAGCAACGCCGCGUGAGUGAUGAAGGUCUUCGGAUCGUAAAACUCUGUUAUUAGGGAAGAACAAAUGUGUAAGUAACUAUGCACGUCUUGACGGUACCUAAUCAGAAAGCCACGGCUAACUACGUG